This 1645-nucleotide ribosomal RNA is filed under the name Escherichia coli. RNAcentral describes it as "partial 23S ribosomal RNA". It matches the Rfam family "Bacterial large subunit ribosomal RNA", at positions 1291 to 2915 of the family's 2925-position model. The record is from RNAcentral. Lineage: Bacteria; Pseudomonadati; Pseudomonadota; Gammaproteobacteria; Enterobacterales; Enterobacteriaceae.
CGAAUGCUGACAUAAGUAACGAUAAAGCGGGUGAAAAGCCCGCUCGCCGGAAGACCAAGGGUUCCUGUCCAACGUUAAUCGGGGCAGGGUGAGUCGACCCCUAAGGCGAGGCCGAAAGGCGUAGUCGAUGGGAAACAGGUUAAUAUUCCUGUACUUGGUGUUACUGCGAAGGGGGGACGGAGAAGGCUAUGUUGGCCGGGCGACGGUUGUCCCGGUUUAAGCGUGUAGGCUGGUUUUCCAGGCAAAUCCGGAAAAUCAAGGCUGAGGCGUGAUGACGAGGCACUACGGUGCUGAAGCAACAAAUGCCCUGCUUCCAGGAAAAGCCUCUAAGCAUCAGGUAACAUCAAAUCGUACCCCAAACCGACACAGGUGGUCAGGUAGAGAAUACCAAGGCGCUUGAGAGAACUCGGGUGAAGGAACUAGGCAAAAUGGUGCCGUAACUUCGGGAGAAGGCACGCUGAUAUGUAGGUGAGGUCCCUCGCGGAUGGAGCUGAAAUCAGUCGAAGAUACCAGCUGGCUGCAACUGUUUAUUAAAAACACAGCACUGUGCAAACACGAAAGUGGACGUAUACGGUGUGACGCCUGCCCGGUGCCGGAAGGUUAAUUGAUGGGGUUAGCGCAAGCGAAGCUCUUGAUCGAAGCCCCGGUAAACGGCGGCCGUAACUAUAACGGUCCUAAGGUAGCGAAAUUCCUUGUCGGGUAAGUUCCGACCUGCACGAAUGGCGUAAUGAUGGCCAGGCUGUCUCCACCCGAGACUCAGUGAAAUUGAACUCGCUGUGAAGAUGCAGUGUACCCGCGGCAAGACGGAAAGACCCCGUGAACCUUUACUAUAGCUUGACACUGAACAUUGAGCCUUGAUGUGUAGGAUAGGUGGGAGGCUUAGAAGUGUGGACGCCAGUCUGCAUGGAGCCGACCUUGAAAUACCACCCUUUAAUGUUUGAUGUUCUAACGUUGACCCGUAAUCCGGGUUGCGGACAGUGUCUGGUGGGUAGUUUGACUGGGGCGGUCUCCUCCUAAAGAGUAACGGAGGAGCACGAAGGUUGGCUAAUCCUGGUCGGACAUCAGGAGGUUAGUGCAAUGGCAUAAGCCAGCUUGACUGCGAGCGUGACGGCGCGAGCAGGUGCGAAAGCAGGUCAUAGUGAUCCGGUGGUUCUGAAUGGAAGGGCCAUCGCUCAACGGAUAAAAGGUACUCCGGGGAUAACAGGCUGAUACCGCCCAAGAGUUCAUAUCGACGGCGGUGUUUGGCACCUCGAUGUCGGCUCAUCACAUCCUGGGGCUGAAGUAGGUCCCAAGGGUAUGGCUGUUCGCCAUUUAAAGUGGUACGCGAGCUGGGUUUAGAACGUCGUGAGACAGUUCGGUCCCUAUCUGCCGUGGGCGCUGGAGAACUGAGGGGGGCUGCUCCUAGUACGAGAGGACCGGAGUGGACGCAUCACUGGUGUUCGGGUUGUCAUGCCAAUGGCACUGCCCGGUAGCUAAAUGCGGAAGAGAUAAGUGCUGAAAGCAUCUAAGCACGAAACUUGCCCCGAGAUGAGUUCUCCCUGACUCCUUGAGAGUCCUGAAGGAACGUUGAAGACGACGACGUUGAUAGGCCGGGUGUGUAAGCGCAGCGAUGCGUUGAGCUAACCGGUACUAAUGAACCGUGAGG